AACGUAGGUCCCGAGCGUUAUCCGGAUUUACUGGGCGUAAAGCGUGUUCAGGCGGUCUAGCAAGUCGGGCAUGAAAUCUCUCGGCUCAACCGGGAGGGGUUGUCCGAUACUGCUGGGCUUGAGGGCAGCAGAGGGUGGUGGAAUUCCGGGUGGAGUGGUGAAAUGCGUAGAGAUCCGGAGGAACACCGAAGGCGAAGGCAGUGUCCUGGCGAGUAUCCUGACGCUGAGGUGCGAAAGCCAGGGGAGCGAACGGG
Molecule: ribosomal RNA, 254 nt
Filed under: uncultured bacterium
Lineage: Bacteria
Description: partial 16S ribosomal RNA
Rfam family: Bacterial small subunit ribosomal RNA
Source: RNAcentral